RNAcentral lists this long non-coding RNA (703 nucleotides) under Gallus gallus (chicken). RNAcentral's name for it is "lncRNA (ENSGALG00010007364.1)". Lineage: Eukaryota; Metazoa; Chordata; Aves; Galliformes; Phasianidae. The record is from RNAcentral.
AAUUUCAGGCUGCAGACUUGAAGUCUUUAGGCUGCAGACACUUCAUUGACAUGCUAAAUUAGAAAACUAGGAGGGAAAGCAGCCCCCCACCUCAAGUGCGAAGCUUCAGCUGAAGUUUUAAAUGGACCUUGGCAGAUAGGCUCUUCCUCUGAAGAACGUUUACACUUCUGUCUGUUCACAGUCAGACAGCACAGUCUAUUUCCAAAGGACUGCUCUGAUGGAUGAGUCUGAAAAAGGACAUAACCCAGUGUUUUCAACAGUUGCAUUGGUAGAGGCAGCCAGAAGGCACGUGCAGCCCAUUAGGAACCUCACACUACAGAGAGUAUUUCUUCACAUAGUAUAUUUAAAGGUUUUUCUUGAAUAUCAAUUAGUCCCAGAAGCAGCUGUACUCAUGGCCAGCUACUGCAUGUAACUGCUUCCUUCAGGGAUUCCCUUGCUGCUCUCCUGUGCUGCAGUUUGUUGUGGUCCUGAGUCCCCUCACUAUGAAUGCAGCCACAAUGAUUUCUUCUCCUUCAUCUUCCAUCCUGCCAUGUACUUCAUGACAUCAACCAUAUAUUUUCCUGCUAAUAAUAUCUUUUGUAAAUUUUAUGAAUAUGUCAGUUGCAAAUUGCUCAGAUGCUACACUGAGAGGCACAGAAGUGUCUUUAAGAGAAUCUGCAGCUUUUACUGAAGCAAAACACCAUCUGGAAUAAACAAUAUACUU